AAUACAAUUGCAAUCGUUGUGAUUAGUUAAAUUCAUGGUAUUUGUGAUGCAACGACGCAUUGUAGCCAAUAGUGAGCGAGCGACAACAAAUCAGAGGUGAUUGCGAUCGUGACAUUGUAGCGGUCAUUUUACUGCAAUCGAACCCCUCAAUAGCU
This is a long non-coding RNA of Maniola jurtina (meadow brown), 155 nucleotides long. RefSeq lists it as uncharacterized. The transcript is spliced from 3 exons. The record is from RefSeq and is a predicted model, not a curated record. Lineage: Eukaryota; Metazoa; Arthropoda; Insecta; Lepidoptera; Nymphalidae.